GAAUGAACUAUGUCGUUCAUUAAGGUACAACAGCUAUGGCUCUUCAUCUUUGUCCUCUCCACAUCUCCAAUGAGAGGAUCGAGCCAAACAUCAGCUCCACCAUUCUUCCUAAAAAGGCUAUGAGUAGCAGGAACUUCAAGUGUGACCUCUCUCAUAGCCAUACCUCUGUUACUGGGGCCAGAUUCUAAAUGAGUAACAGAGGAAGGAGGGAUAGUGGAAGGAGGAGUAGUAGAAGAGGUAAAAAUAGCAGGAGCUACAGAAACCAAGGAAGGAGCUGAAGGAAUAGGCACGGGAGCAAAAGAAGGAGCGGGAGUAGGAGCAUUUAAAGUAGAUGAAGGAACAACAGAAGUCGGCAAAGGGGAAGAAACACUCACGAUCGAAGGAGGAAUAAAAGAAACAUAGGAGAUAGGAAUUGAAGUAGAUAAAGGAAUUUCAUUAAGAAGAGGUACGAGUUCCCCACUUUUAAAACCACUUACAAAGAGACGGUGAACAGAUUCACUCAUGUCUCUAGGUGUCAGAUCUUCAUCGGAGUGGAUUAGAACAGGCUCGGUAGUGGAAGUAUUAGCAGAAAAGGUAUGAGCAAGAGCAUCUUCAGUUUCUUCUUCAAUAAUAACGCGUCUCCUAACUCUUGGUCUAGAUACCAAUGAGGUAUUAUCUUCUUCCUCAUUCUCAGUUUCUACUACCAUAGCUUUCCUUUUAGCUAUCAGUGCUUUAGCCCUGUCCAAACCAAGGGUAGUGUUGGCAGUAGUACCCAUAGCUAAAGCAACAUCAACGGCCAUCCCUUUUAUUCCACAGCUUUUCUCUUAGCUAUUAACGCAUUAGCCUUGUCCAAGCUAAGGGAGGUAUUGGUAGUAGUACGCAUAGCUAAAGCAACGUCAGCUGCCAUCCCUUUUAUUCCAAAUCCUGACAAAAAGAAGGAUUUAAGUUUGUUAUCAGUAUUUAUUAUAUGUAUCUUGAAAACAUACACGAAAAGAGAUAUAUACCGUGUGUUUUCACUAUCCACCCAUGUAAGGAAGAAAUAGACUUCCAAGUUCUAUCUUCCUUAGAAGUACCAAUGAGGUAUUAUCUUCUUCCUCAUUCUCAGUAUCCACUACCACAGCUUUUCUCUUAGCUAUUAACGCAUUAGCCUUGUCCAAGCUAAGGGAGGUAUUGGUAGUAGUACGCAUAGCUAAAGCAACGUCAGCUGCCAUCCCUUUUAUUCCAAAUCCU
RNAcentral lists this long non-coding RNA (1209 nucleotides) under Nicotiana benthamiana. Its description in RNAcentral is "long non-coding RNA (NBEN_LNC030139)". The record is from RNAcentral. Lineage: Eukaryota; Viridiplantae; Streptophyta; Magnoliopsida; Solanales; Solanaceae.